RNAcentral lists this ribosomal RNA (327 nucleotides) under uncultured eukaryote. Its description in RNAcentral is "partial 18S ribosomal RNA". It matches the Rfam family "Eukaryotic small subunit ribosomal RNA", at positions 1470 to 1796 of the family's 1831-position model. The record is from RNAcentral.
CCCUUAGAUGUUCUGGGCUGCACGCGCGCUACACUGAAGCGUUCAACGAGUAUUCACCUUGCCCGGGAGGGUUGGGUAAUCUUUUGAAAACGCUUCGUGAUGGGGAUAGAUUAUUGCAAUUAUUAAUCUUCAACGAGGAAUUCCUAGUAAGCGCGAGUCAUCAGCUCGUGCUGAUUACGUCCCUGCCCUUUGUACACACCGCCCGUCGCUCCUACCGAUUGAGUGGUCCGGUGAGGCUUUGGGAUCUAAGCGAAAAGAGCGUUUCGCUCCUUUUGCUGGGAGAACUCAGUCGAACCUUAUCAUUUAGAGGAAGGAGAAGUCGUAACA